CCUACGGGAGGCAGCAGUAGGGAAUCUUCCGCAAUGGACGAAAGUCUGACGGAGCAACGCCGCGUGAGCGAAGAAGGCCUUCGGGUCGUAAAGCUCUGUUGUUAGGGAAGAACAAGUACGAGAGUAACUGCUCGUACCUUGACGGUACCUAACCAGAAAGCCACGGCUAACUACGUGCCAGCAGCCGCGGUAAUACGUAGGUGGCAAGCGUUGUCCGGAAUUAUUGGGCGUAAAGCGCGCGCAGGUGGUUUCUUAAGUCUGAUGUGAAAGCCCACGGCUCAACCGUGGAGGGUCAUUGGAAACUGGGGAACUUGAGUGCAGAAGAGGAAAGUGGAAUUCCAAGUGUAGCGGUGAAAUGCGUAGAGAUUUGGAGGAACACCAGUGGCGAAGGCGACUUUCUGGUCUGUAACUGACACUGAGGCGCGAAAGCGUGGGGAGCGAACAGGAUUAGAUACCCUGGUAGUCCACGCCGUAAACGAUGAGUGCUAAGUGUUAGAGGGUUUCCGCCCUUUAGUGCUGCAGCUAACGCAUUAAGCACUCCGCCUGGGGAGUACGGUCGCAAGACUGAAACUCAAAUGAAUUGACGG
RNAcentral lists this ribosomal RNA (587 nucleotides) under uncultured Bacillus sp. Its description in RNAcentral is "bacterial SSU rRNA". It matches the Rfam family "Bacterial small subunit ribosomal RNA", at positions 338 to 916 of the family's 1533-position model. The record is from RNAcentral. Lineage: Bacteria; Bacillati; Bacillota; Bacilli; Caryophanales; Bacillaceae.